Molecule: ribosomal RNA, 252 nt
Filed under: uncultured bacterium
Lineage: Bacteria
Description: partial 16S ribosomal RNA
Rfam family: Bacterial small subunit ribosomal RNA
Source: RNAcentral
UACGUAGGGGGCUAGCGUUAUCCGGAAUUACUGGGCGUAAAGGGUGCGUAGGUGGUUUCUUAAGUCAGAGGUGAAAGGCUACGGCUCAACCGUAGUAAGCCUUUGAAACUGGGAAACUUGAGUGCAGGAGAGGAGAGUGGAAUUCCUAGUGUAGCGGUGAAAUGCGUAGAUAUUAGGAGGAACACCAGUUGCGAAGGCGGCUCUCUGGACUGUAACUGACACUGAGGCACGAAAGCGUGGGGAGCAAACGGG